ACCAGUUAAAUAGUUCACAGCAUUUGAAACUAGAAUAUAGUUGCAAAAGAAAACUCUUAUUUAGAAAAUAAUAUAAAAAUGUAAAAUUGUAAAAAAAAAAACAUAAGGAUGUUGUGACACAGUGAAACAAAAUGGAAGGGAAAUGCUCAAAAAAACAGAUAUGUAAAAGAAAUGUUUAAAAUAAUUUUAUUUGAAUUAUCCCGGAAUAGCAAUAAAGUUAACACAUAGACUAACGGGCGCUGGCAAAAAUAAAUAGAAACAGACACAAAAAUAAACAAAAAGCUAAAACAAUGAGUAGUAAAUUGGUUUAAAGAAAAGAGAGUAAAAGAGUAAAUAAUGGAGAGAAAGGAGAAAGAGAGAAAAUAUUGAGUAAAGGAUGCUGUAGUAUUUCAUUUCCGUUUAAGUUAGAGAACUAAUGCAAGUGUAAGUGUGUGUGUGUGUUGCAAUGUUCUCAAUUGAACUAGUUUGCUAAAAGCAUAAUUUUGUUGUUGUUGCUUUUGAGUGCGUGUUAUUGUGCUACUAACAACGACAAAGUGAGAAUGUGUGUUGCAAAACGACUUACUGACACACUCUUUGGAUGCUUGGCUGUUAAACUAUUAUCUCAUACUCUUGCGCGUUUUUUACAAAGAAUAUUAAAGCUAACUACAAAAAAAAAAAUGAAAAACGGAAACAAGUUACAAAAACUCCCCAAGAAACGCUCUCAUUUAAUUUGAAACAAACACUUCGUUCAGAAUCGUCUACAUCCAAAGCAAACACUUCGUCUUGACUGUUUUUAUGCCAUUUUUAGUUCAACACAAAAUUUUCACAUUUCGUAUUUGAUGACGCUUCGGUUUGUUCUACAUUCAGUGUGGCAAGUGUUUAUAUGUGUCUGUGUGCAAAUUUUUCUUACUCGUAUUACGUUUUUGGUAAUGAGCCAUACGUUAAGUCGUCACUAUCUUUAGACUCUUUCAGUCGUCAUUGCGUGUUGUAGGUGGUCGGGUGGUUACUCUAGCUAAAUACCAGAAUUAGCAAAGAAUGAACAAAAAACACACAAAACUUCAAAUAGAAAAAUAGAAUAUCUAAAUGUUACAACAGCAAAAAGAAAUGGAAAACAAAAGGAAUAUUGUCUAGAAAAAAAUCCUCUUAACACUAGUGUUUGGCUUUCAAAAUAAAAGGACCUCAAAAAAACAUAAACCUGCAUAGCAGCAUUAAAAGAAAACAAUGACUGCACACGAAUUUCCGCAAAAUAAUUCUGGGAAAGAACGUUUAAAUGAUAACUUGACCAGUUAUGAAACGCGAGUGGUGUGAUAAAGAUGUGUUGGUUAGCGUGUACGUUAAUAAAGAAAAAGAUGUAAAAAAUAAGCAAAGAAAUUCGACUUGAAAAAUAAAUUAUUAAAAGAUAUAUAUAAGUGUAAAGUGCUAACUUAAAAAUAUGGCAAACAGUUUUAAUUACAAUUUUAACAAAAUUUUAAACUUAACUUUAAAUUUAAUUAAACCAUUCGAGUUUUUUUUUUUUUCAAAAGAUUAUAUAUAUUUAAACUAAAUACUUUAAAUAAAACACUAAAGUUAACACUAAAUUUUUUUUUUCAACAAACCAACCACUAUAAACUAAAUAAAAGUGUAUUUAAUAUUUUAUGGUUAUUUCUUCCUCUAUAUAAAACUGCACAUAAUAACCACAACAUUUGAUUAAAAUUCAUGUUGGUGGUUACAGAAAGAAAAAAAAUAAAUUAAAAAUAACACUUUGUGUGAAAAAAAUUUAGUAUGUGUUCAUUAUUAUUUCUAUUGCUGUUAAUAUAAUUACUAUUAUUAUUACAUGCAUUAGUUUUUAGUAAUAACUAAAAUCCUGCUAAUCAAUUAUCACCAUUUAAGCCUGUCGUUCAUGUCUAUUCUUUGUAUGGUCGUCGAUUGUUUUCUGUUUUGUGAUCUUUGGGUCACAAUUUGAUGAUAAAAUCUUAAACUUGAUUUAUUACUGAAGGUAUGAACUUUCCAGCAAAAAAUCUACAUAAUAUCAUUUAUUGAAUGAUUG
Molecule: long non-coding RNA, 2005 nt
Filed under: Lucilia cuprina (Australian sheep blowfly)
Lineage: Eukaryota; Metazoa; Arthropoda; Insecta; Diptera; Calliphoridae
Description: uncharacterized LOC124421369
Source: RNAcentral